This 282-nucleotide unclassified non-coding RNA is filed under the name Hevea brasiliensis (rubber tree). The record is from RNAcentral. Lineage: Eukaryota; Viridiplantae; Streptophyta; Magnoliopsida; Malpighiales; Euphorbiaceae.
AUCAGGUGGUUGCGGACCAGGCUCCACAGCCUGUCCACUGAGAAGGGCGCUUGCAAGUUUCUUGAACUCCUGAACAUAAGCACUGAGUGUGUGUGGACCAAAUAAAGUGGAGGCACCUUCGUAUCUCUGCACUUCGUAUUCUUCAAAGGUGGUCACGUACUGUGAAUAAGUAUUAGUCAAACCAGCUAUAACAACAUGAACAUUGCCACUGAAAUCUUUAUUUCCACUUGUUAGCACUGUCCUCACAGCAUCUCGAAGACGCCCCCCAGCCAUUGUUGUGAA